GUACUGCUGAAGAGUCCCAAACUAGUUGGACGAAUCAGCUGUCCAGUAC
This 49-nucleotide non-coding RNA is filed under the name Trichobilharzia regenti. Lineage: Eukaryota; Metazoa; Platyhelminthes; Trematoda; Strigeidida; Schistosomatidae. The record is from RNAcentral.